UUUACCCUGNUGGAUAAGCAUAAUCAAAUAGCGGGAGGAAAAGAAACCAACAGGGAUUGCCCCAGUAACGGCGAGUGAAGCGGCAACAGCUCAAAUUUGAAAUCUGGUCCCCCAGGGCCCGAGUUGUAAUUUGUAGAGGAUGCUUUUGGCGAGGCGCCUUCCGAGUUCCCUGGAACGGGACGCCACAGAGGGUGAGAGCCCCGUCUGGUCGGAUGCCAAGCCUAUGUAAAGCUCCUUUGACGAGUCGAGUAGUUUGGGAAUGCUGCUCAAAAUGGGAGAAAAUAUGUCUUCUAAAGCUAAAUACCGGCCAGAGACCGAUAGCGCACAAGUAGAGUGAUCGAAAGAUGAAAAGCACUUUGAAAAGAGGGUUAAAAAGUACGUGAAAUUGUUGAAAGGGAAGCGCCUAUGACCAGACUUGGGCCCGGUGAAUCAUCCAGCUGUUCUCGCUGGUGCACUUUGCCGGGCACAGGCCAGCAUCAGUUUGGCGCGGGGGACAAAGGCUUCGGGAAUGUGGCUCCCCUCGGGGAGUGUUAUAGCCCGUUGCGCAAUACCCUGCGCCGGACUGAGGUACGCGCUCCGCAAGGAUGCUGGCGUAAUGGUCAUCAGCGACCCGUCUGUAAACACGUACUCGAUU
Molecule: ribosomal RNA, 634 nt
Filed under: Parengyodontium album
Lineage: Eukaryota; Fungi; Ascomycota; Sordariomycetes; Hypocreales; Cordycipitaceae
Description: eukaryotic LSU rRNA
Rfam family: Eukaryotic large subunit ribosomal RNA
Source: RNAcentral